Molecule: long non-coding RNA, 447 nt
Organism: Paramacrobiotus metropolitanus
Lineage: Eukaryota; Metazoa; Tardigrada; Eutardigrada; Parachela; Macrobiotidae
Exons: 3
Source: RefSeq, a predicted model, not a curated record
UACACCAAACGGUCGUAUGGAUGAUAACGGUGUAGCAAAAAAUCGGAUUACGUUCAUACAUGGGAUUAGAAGGACGAAUUGUUUUGCACGUCAACGAAUCGCACCGAACAAUCGUAUGGAAGAGGAUGGUAUAGCACAAAACCGGAUUUUGUUCAAACAUGUGAUUGCGAAAAAGAAUUGUUCAGUGGCGCCAAUGGAUGUAAAUCGCGUGCUUGCAAAUGAUGUGUCCACUUCGUGGCCAGCUGGGCCAGCACGAAACAGCUCCAUUCUUCAUGAUGGAAUGUUCCAGAACUGACCAGCUAAUAUCCAUGGAAAUAUAUGACCGUUAUUCUGCCUAGAGCAACGUGGAAUUACACCAAACGGUCGUAUGGAUGAUAACGGUGUAGCAAAAAAUCGGAUUACGUUCAUACAUGGGAUUAGAAGGACGAAUUGUUUUGCACGUCAACG